GACGAACGCUGGCGGCGUGCCUAACACAUGCAAGUCGAGGGGUGAUUUCGGUCAUCACUGGCGCACGGGUGAGUAACGCGUAGAUCAUCUGCCCCUAUCACUGACAUAACAGUUCUAACGGACUGCUAAUAUCAGAUGAGGUGAGCAAUCAUCAAAGUUUCGACGGAUAGGGAUGAGCCUGCGUCUGAUUAGGUAGUUGGCGGAGUAAUAGCCCACCAAGCCUGCGAUCAGUAGCUGGUCUGAGAGGAUGAUCAGCCACACUGGAACUGAGACACGGCCCAGACUCCUACGGGAGGCAGCAGUGGGGAAUUGUGGACAAUGGGCGGCAAGCCUGAUCCAGCCAUGCCGCGUGAGUGAAGAAGGCCU
RNAcentral lists this ribosomal RNA (366 nucleotides) under uncultured bacterium. RNAcentral describes it as "bacterial SSU rRNA". It matches the Rfam family "Bacterial small subunit ribosomal RNA", at positions 28 to 417 of the family's 1533-position model. The record is from RNAcentral.